UCCGGUUUGUCACCGGCAGUCUCCCUAGAGUGCCCUUGCGUAGCAACUAGGGACAAGGGUUGCGCUCGUUGCGGGACUUAACCCAACAUCUCACGACACGAGCUGACGACAGCCAUGCAGCACCUGUGUUCCGAUUCCCUUUCGGGCACCCCCACCUCUCAGCAGGGUUCCGGACAUGUCAAGGGUAGGUAAGGUGGGGAUGACGUCAGUGACCUUUGC
Molecule: unclassified non-coding RNA, 219 nt
Filed under: uncultured Gammaproteobacteria bacterium
Lineage: Bacteria; Pseudomonadati; Pseudomonadota; Gammaproteobacteria
Description: contains 16S-23S intergenic spacer region
Source: RNAcentral